RNAcentral lists this ribosomal RNA (344 nucleotides) under uncultured bacterium. Its description in RNAcentral is "bacterial SSU rRNA". It matches the Rfam family "Bacterial small subunit ribosomal RNA", at positions 8 to 350 of the family's 1533-position model. The record is from RNAcentral.
AGAGUUUGAUCAUGGCUCAGGAUGAACGCUAGCGGCAGGCCUAACACAUGCAAGUCGAGGGGCAGCACGGUGUAGCAAUACACUGGUGGCGACCGGCGCACGGGUGCGUAACGCGUAUGCAACCUACCCAUAACAGGGGGAUAACACUGAGAAAUUGGUACUAAUACCCCAUAACAUCAGGACCGGCAUCGGUUCUGGUUGAAAACUCCGGUGGUUAUGGAUGGGCAUGCGUUGUAUUAGCUGGUUGGUGAGGUAACGGCUCACCAAGGCAACGAUACAUAGGGGGACUGAGAGGUUAACCCCCANAUUGGUACUGAGACACGGACCAAACUCCUGCGGAGGCA